GGCGGCCGGGCGAGCGGCAUAGAGCACGGCGAGCGCACGGCGCGGCUGCCGGCCCGCGCCCUUAACCCUUCUAUGCACCCGGACUGGAGCAGCGCUCGCUUCAGGGGAGACCGGGUGUCUCUCCGCAACUGUGGCUCCGGAUCCCGGACACCGACCGGAGGGGACUGAGCCUUCCAGCCUGGACAAGCUGACGACCUCCUGGCCCUCCUUUCAAAUUCUGCUGAUCUCGAAAUCUGCUGUGAGCAUCGAACGUCUCAGCUCUAGCCCUGGUAACCGACCUGCUCACUCCUUGCAGCUAACUGUGGAUCAUUCAUUUCAUCGCAAGUGAGGUAACCUGUGCACUGAGCUGUCGAUGGCGGUUCUCGGGAGUCCAAGGCGAAGGAACACCCCCCCCCACACACACACACACCUUGUCCUGGUGGCCAAACCCACCCGCCCCCUCAGGCUACACCUCAGCCAGGUGUGAGCUCCGUGGGAAGGAAUCUUCUCUGGAGGAAUGCACCUUGCCAACAGGUGUGGCACCCGAAAGAAGAGCGGGCACAUCCCCACGAGGGUCGCUCAGUGCCGCGUUCUCUUUGCUGCAGAUAAUUCUCGAAGACCACUAGGUGUCAGGCCAGCAUCUGACCUCUUUCAGGUGCUUAGAACUAAGAGUCUGGAAACUCAAUCCCUUGGUCCCGCUGGAAGCCACUACUAUUGACUGUAAGCCUGAUUUGAGAGACCUUUUGGCUCCGUUUGCUUAUGACUUAACAGUUAGUCACUGUCUGAAGCAGCGUACAGAAUCACCAAGAGAAAUGUGUGUGCGUUUAAACUACAGUAUUGUGGAGCCCGCACUUCAGAAGUUAAAAAAGGGGGGAAAAAAAGAUGCAGCGGGUGUGUGUGUGUGUGUGUGUGUGUGUGUGUGUGUGUGGUGUGGGGCACAUUAUCUAUUCUCAGGUUUUGAAAUACCGUGCACACAUCCACGGUUGCUUAAAUAGAACUACAACUGUUCCCUCUCACCCCCACCCCCACUCUCCAUAACUGUGUUGUUCACUUGAAGAUCCGUGAUUGUUAGACUUCAUAUGCUAAAGUGACAUUGUUGGUCUCAUUACAGCCUCUAGUGGACGGCUAUCGUGAGUUUCCUGUCGAGGCUCUGUCUAGUUUUGUUUUCCCUUCUGAGCUUUAUCCAGGUGAAGGUUAAUAGUUCAGAGCUUAACUGCCUGGUGUCUUUUUGCUCCCUCCUGGUAGAGCUGCCUUUGAAACGGAGCAGAAGCUUGCUGGCUGCAUGUGGGAAAGGCUUAUGCUUUGUGCUACAGGUAUUGUUACUGCUGGCCUGUGAAAGUGACAAAGCUUCUGUUAUUCGCUUCAGUUGCAGACAGCUUUCAUAAAAAAAAAAAAAAAAAAAAAAAAAACCACACACACACACACACAAAUUUAAUCUAAAAUAUUUUUAUAACAGAAAAUAUUGGUUGCCAUGUUUUUGGCGUAACUGAGAUGUUUUUAUUCCAGCUCAUAAUCUGCAAACUGUCCAAUCCACCUCCACUCUAUUUUUAGACAUCUUACAUUUAGAGAAUUUUCAAGGGAAAAAAAACCUAAUAUUGUAAUUAUUACGUUGGUGCGAGCAGUUAAUUUGCAUUAUUUUAACAACCUUAAACAUAUUAAAACACAUAAUUCAUAUUAGACUUAGUCAAUUAAUUUAAAUGUCCCCUGAAGAAAGCUAAAUAUGUACAUUAUCCACACAGUAAAAAUAAUUAAUAAGAAAUGUGUUGUUUACUUUCCUAGACAUUAAGAUUAAAGCCAUAAACUGCCACACACACACACACACACACACACACACACACACCCUACAGCUAUUGCUUCCUGCAAGGUCCAGCACAAACAUAAUACUCAUCAAGCAAUUUCAUUACUCGAGUACUGGGCUGUUUUGUUUCCUGAAGACAAAAUGUCAAAGGCACCAUCCAAGAAGUAACAAGAGAGGUUUUUUAAAAGCAAAAGUUCUCAUGCAAAUAAAACCUCAAUGGAAAGAGAACAUGUUUUCAAGGUGACAGUUGUAUAGCACUGGUCCCUAACCCCAAAUCUGAUAUUAUAUUUGUAAAGACUCGGUCAAGCUUUGUAAUGAAGUAAAAUUGAGGAAGGAGUCUCCCUUGAGCCUUACUCCUAAUGUAUGUUAUGUAUUAUUUAAUAUAAAAAGAAAUGUUAGUACCUUCUAUUUAUUUUAAAGAUAUAUUAAAGAUAUAUCUUAAAUAUAUUAAUAUAUAAGAUGUAUUAAUAUAUAUUAAAUAUAUAUUUAAAAUAAGUAGAAAGUACAUAGAAGGUACUAACCUCUAUGUGUAUGUGAGAGAGAUAGAGAGAGAAAGAGAGAGAGAAAAGGGAGAGAGAGAGAGGAUGUUCCUCUUAUUACUUUCUGAUUAUUUCUUUGAGACAAUGUCUCUACCUGAACUUAAGGGGCCAUAUUUUCUAAACUAGGCUGGAAAUCAAGAGACUUAGCCUUUUUUCCUCCCGUCUCUUCCCCCUCCAAGCUGAGGUUACAGGUCUGUGGGAUGCCCAGCUGAGGUUACAGGUCCGUGGGAUGCCCAGCUUUAAGCAGUGAUGAGGUCCUUGUUCAGGAUCUCCAUAUCCUACAACAAGCACUCUCAAGUCUCAAGCUGUGUCUCCACCCCACCUUCUCUCUGUUUUACUGAUUUUUUCCUGUCUACUCUUGAAAGAUUAAAAUGGUCUAGCAACUAUUUUUUAGGUCACAAGACUCUUCUGUCACACUUCUGCAUUUACAAGUGUGGUAGUUAAUGUAGCAGCAGCAGCUGCAGCACCACCAUCCGGGGGAUUUUAGACUCUCAGAGGCAAGGAUCCUAUCCAGCACUAGACAGGCAGAGUCUGCCUUUGAACUAGCUGCUGAGGACUGGCCCAUCCCAGCAUGAAGAACACUGGCCUAUUCUUUGGGACAUAUGGCCCCACGUAUAGAACUUUAAGUCUCCAAUGAAUUGUCUUUAUACUAAUUAAUUUUACCAAUAGAAAAUUAAAAGCACAUUGCACUUGAAUCUCUACAUUCUCAAAUUUAAUCAGCUUCUGGUAGAAAAAAAAAUACACAUAUAUAUUUUAAAAAGUUGUCUGGGCUGAAUACCUGAGACUUUCCCCUCAUCAUUAUUUCAAGCACAAUAUGGAAUGGUGAGUGUUUCCCUUGCACUAGGUGUCAUGAGUAAUCUAGAGAUUACUGAUAACUUAAAGUUAUGAUGUGAACUUAAAUUACUUAUAAUGUAAAGCAUGUAAGAGGAUGUGAGUAUUCUGUGUCCAGAUACUAUGCUUGUGCAGUCUAAGAUUUGGUUGUCUCAGGGGGACUCUAAAACUAGCCCUCAUAUUUGAGGGGUGAUCAUAUAUACACAUGAAGGAAAUAAUACUCCAUCCCUGAAGAGUCUUGUUUCACCAAUUAUGGAAGCUGCAGAGGACUGAGUGUACUGGGGUCUUGGCUAGGAAUGUGUUCUCGGAGGCAGUAGAGGGAGCACAAGAGUGCUUAAUACAACCAGUGUACACAGGGCCCUCUAAAUUGUGACAGAUUUUAAAUUAUAGUAUAUGUUUGCAUUGGAAGUAGCCUGUUAUGUCAUUCAGAACCAAACCAAACAAAACAAAAAAGAAGCUAACAAACAUUCAGUGCCUACCAGAUUAUAGCAACUAAAUAAUUGAACAGAUUGCAAAUUACAUAAAAUAAAAGAUACACUCAUC
Molecule: long non-coding RNA, 3690 nt
Organism: Mastomys coucha (southern multimammate mouse)
Lineage: Eukaryota; Metazoa; Chordata; Mammalia; Rodentia; Muridae
Exons: 2
Source: RefSeq, a predicted model, not a curated record